CCGGGCUAGUUCAAUAAACAACCUGCGCUCCUUUCUGUGUUAAGUAUCCCAAGAUGCCUCUGUGUGUGUGUGGGGGGGGGGACCAACAAACAUGACACUCUUUUGUCAUGUUUGUUGGUCAUGGUCUCUGUAAAAUCAGUCACGCGGAAAUGGCAGCACCCCAAAAAAGCAAAUAAUUAAAAAACAACACAGAAAAUGAUUGAAAACAGAUCCUAAUUUUUACCACAAGCCUCUGGAAGUGGUUAAAACAGUUCCUUUAUUACCCACACACAUCCAAAUAAACCAAAUCUCAAACUCAUGUUACGCCUCUCAGACUGUAACAUGAGACGAGACGGACACGCCUCCUAACACGAGAGAGAGCUCACACCACACGCUGAAUAUCCUCCACUCUCUUUCUCUCAGCACUGAGAUCAUCCUUCCUGACCUAUGAUGUCGGGUGGUGCUCUCUCCGUCUUUUUUGCUCUCUGUGUGCUUUUAGAUGGCUGCUGUGGAAAACCGGCGAUUCUGGGAGAGUCUGUAGAGUUAUCAGCUGAUGUGAAGUGUGAAGCGCAGGAAUUCAGUCUGAUCUACCGGCUGAGGGAUGACAGUCCUCGGACUGUGGCCCAGCUGGUAAACGGUGUCUGGAUCCCGGGAGAGAGCUACAGAGAGCGGGUGGAGCACAGCUCCACGGGCAGCUUGUUGCUAACCCAUGUGAACUACAACGAUCAAGGCUACUACGAGUUCACCUGCGCCGCCGAGGUGACUUCUUCUGCUGUGUUAAUAAAGGCAGCAGAGAGAGCGGGAAGUGGAGAGAGAGGGGCAGCCCUGCAGCUGUGAGAGUGACUGUCAGUGAGAGGAGCACCAACAUCAGCAGCAUCUCUGCUCCCCCCACACGUGAAGCAGAGACACACACGGCAGCUUGUGUCACUCCCAUCAUCAUCACAGCCGGCAUAACCCUGCUGCUCUCUGCUGCUGCUGCUGCUGUGUGGUUGGUUUGGAGGAGGAAGUCCCGCAGAUCAGGAUCCACACCUGACGGCUCUGAUGGAGGACCUGCCAGUGACGUGGAGACGACACCUUUCACUGAGAGAGGCUCUGACAGAGGGACGUUCAUCGGAUAACUGAAGCCUGUGUGUGUGGUUUCUACACAAACACGACCUCUGCUGUGAUACUCUUUAUAAAAAAUGUUAUGGAUUUUUUUUGUAUCUUGCUCCUUGCUUUAGCCUCACUUCCUGUUCCUGUAGUUUAUAAGUUUUAUAAGAUGUAAAUAUCAGCUUUUCUGCCAAUAAAUAUCUGAGAUUUUAAUGUUUGAUCAUGUUUGUUUCAUGUUUUCGUGUCUUCCAGAGUGUCCCUUUGCCUUUUCUCCAGAAAUCUGGCAAUAUUAAAAUAAUAAAUGAAACAAAUAAAUAAAGUAGCUUAAAAAAACAAAACAAAACAAAAAAGUUAAAUGGAAAUGUGGAAAACUGAUUUAAGAAACAAACAGAAGUCAAGCUAAGAAUAAGAGAAAAGGCCAGACAACAGGUUGUUUGGUAUGACGUCGACAGAUCAAAGGGUGAAAGGUCAGAAAGUACAAAAAUAUCUCCCAGCAUGCCCCUCUGCCAUCAAAACGUCCCGUUAAUUGUUUUCACUUUAAACAAUGCUGUAAAUGAGUAAAUACAUUUCGAUAAUGAAUUUUAGCUCUGCAUGAAUGACGUUAAACUUCGGUAGUUUCACAACAAACAGUCGUGACUUAAACGUGUUAGUCCAACUUUCAUGUCAGCUUGGAAAUUUACAGCAAACAUGUGCAAACGUGCAUGUAGCUGCUGUGCUCUGCUGUUCUGUAUUACUUUUCGUCCCACGGUGAGUCACUCUGUCACUCUGAAAUGUAUUUGGGACUCAGCCAAAAAGUAACAACGGGGAAUACUGAAGCUGCUUGUGUUUAGUUUCUCGACACAGGCCACACCAUGACAUCGUGUGAAAUUUUAGACAGUUUACAUCACAGCCUCCCAUGAAAUCUGUCUGAAAGCGCUGAAUUUACCUAUCCCUGUAGUUUGUGUCAGAUUUCUGCAAAUGAAGAUUAAUCUGAAUUUUGAAGUUUGUUCGGUUUUUGUUUGUGACAAAGUGCUCUUGCCCCGCUAACCAAGCAGAGAUUUGUUUUUGUUGGCAUCCCAGUGUUGUAAGAAAUCUAUUUAUUUAUUUACUUACAUACAGUGGCGAACACUUGCUCUGCGUGAGACUGAGAUGACCAAAAAGCAACUCACCACACAGGAAAUCAUUCCUGCCCGUGGGCAUCUCCCUGUACAACACCUCCAUCUAACACACUGUGAACACUGCAAUAGUUACACCAUUUUUACACACGCUCUUUUCUAUUCUGGAAUAUUCUUGUCAAUUUUCUUGAUAUUUAUUUAUAAUCACCUCUGUUAAUCCUUGAUAUUUAUAAUUGAGUGAUCUGUAUAUAUUAGUGCUAUUUCUUAAAUGUGUAAAAUCUGUAACAUAAGGUGUUGUUUGGAGUUUAGUCUGUUACUGUUACUAUUUUUUACCAUUUCUUCUUGGAGCAACUGUAACCCACAUAAUUUCCUUAGGGAUUAAUAAAGUAUUCUGAUUCUGAUUGUUUCAGGAUGACCUGCCAUGAUCCAAUGACACAUCUGCUUACCUGUAUAUUUGGCUCAUUUCUCCUCCUCUUCUUUUCUCUUUUUUCUAAACUGAGCACCUGAUGACUUUGAACUUUUCUUGUCCAUCUUCCAUUGGUUUUAAUUUUGCACUCCAGUAUGAACACCCAUCCCCCAACUCGAGGAUCACCACAACAUAACCUAAUAGACCUACACCUUAGUUCACAGAUUGCGGUGUAUUUCUGGGAUUUCACACAACCCAGGAUUCAAAUCAUGAAUACAUAAUGGGCUUGGAUUUACAACAUUAUGAAUGAAAUGUGUUCUAUUUGGAAGCAGCCG
Molecule: long non-coding RNA, 2903 nt
Filed under: Oreochromis niloticus (Nile tilapia)
Lineage: Eukaryota; Metazoa; Chordata; Actinopteri; Cichliformes; Cichlidae
Description: lncRNA (ENSONIG00000040972.1)
Source: RNAcentral